RNAcentral lists this ribosomal RNA (497 nucleotides) under uncultured bacterium. Its description in RNAcentral is "partial 16S ribosomal RNA". It matches the Rfam family "Bacterial small subunit ribosomal RNA", at positions 28 to 507 of the family's 1533-position model. The record is from RNAcentral.
GAUGAACGCUGGCGGCGUGCCUAAUACAUGCAAGUCGAGCGAACAGACGAGGAGCUUGCUCCUCUGACGUUAGCGGCGGACGGGUGAGUAACACGUGGAUAACCUACCUAUCAGACUGGGAUAACUUCGGGAAACCGGAGCUAAUACCGGAUAAUAUAUUGAACCGCAUGGUUCAAUAGUGAAAGACGGUUUUGCUGUCUCUUAUAGAUGGAUCCGCGCCGCAUGAGCUAGUUGGUAAGGUAACGGCUUACCAAGGCAACGAUGCGUAGCCGACCGGAGAGGGUGAUCGGCCACACUGGAACUGAGACACGGUCCAGACUCCUGCGGGAGGCAGCAGUAGGGAAUCUUCCGCAAUGGGCGAAAGCCUGACGGAGCAACGGCGCGUGAGUGAUGAAGGUCUUCGGAUCGUAAAGCUCUGUUAUUAGGGAAGAACAAAUGUGUAAGUAACUAUGCACGUCGUGACGGUACCUAAUCAGAAAGCCACGGCUAACUACGUG